Molecule: unclassified non-coding RNA, 254 nt
Filed under: uncultured fungus
Lineage: Eukaryota; Fungi
Description: partial contains 18S rRNA, ITS1, 5.8S rRNA
Source: RNAcentral
ACAGAAGGAUCAUUAGUGAAGAUUCGGGCAGGCCAUACGGCCGCCAGUGUCCCUGGCCGCCUACACCCACUAUACAUCCACAAACCCGUGUGCACUGUCUUGGAGAAAGGCUUCAGAGAAGUUUUUUGUGGCCUCUCUUGGGGUCUUUCUUCGCUACAAACUCGAAUGGUUAGUAUGAACGUGGAACUUGGUUGGACCGUCACUGGCCAACAAACUAUACACAACUUUCGACAACGGAUCUCUUGGUUCUCCCA